GCGGCUGUGGUGGAAUUGGUAGACACGCCAUCUUGAGGGGGUGGUGACGAAAGUCGUGAGAGUUCGAGUCUCUCCAGCCGCACCA
This 85-nucleotide transfer RNA is filed under the name Candidatus Methylopumilus turicensis. Its description in RNAcentral is "tRNA-Leu". It matches the Rfam family "tRNA". Rfam says of the family: Transfer RNA (tRNA) molecules are approximately 80 nucleotides in length. Their secondary structure includes four short double-helical elements and three loops (D, anti-codon, and T loops). Further hydrogen bonds mediate the characteristic L-shaped molecular structure. tRNAs have two regions of fundamental functional importance: the anti-codon, which is responsible for specific mRNA codon recognition, and the 3' end, to which the tRNAs corresponding amino acid is attached (by aminoacyl-tRNA synthetases). tRNAs cope with the degeneracy of the genetic code in two manners: having more than one tRNA (with a specific anti-codon) for a particular amino acid; and 'wobble' base-pairing, i.e. permitting non-standard base-pairing at the 3rd anti-codon position. RNAcentral also lists the same sequence under 2 other names. The record is from RNAcentral. Lineage: Bacteria; Pseudomonadati; Pseudomonadota; Betaproteobacteria; Nitrosomonadales; Methylophilaceae.